Molecule: long non-coding RNA, 2584 nt
Organism: Sparus aurata (gilthead seabream)
Lineage: Eukaryota; Metazoa; Chordata; Actinopteri; Spariformes; Sparidae
Source: Ensembl
AUGUAUACCUGUGUGGAAGAGUACUCACAGGUGUCCCCGCGGAGAUGUUGGGUGUCUGGGGAGUCCAGUUGUCUUGGAUGCAGUCUCACUUCAGUCAGCCAGAGAGGCAGAGAGGACACGACCAACACCCGGCAGAGACACACAACAUCUUCGCUUCGACCUCAGGUGUACCGGUGGAUGACCCUCAUGGCGGGCCUCGCAGCUCUCUGCCUGCUUCUGGUGUUUCCACUGAGCAGCUCCCAGAGCACUCUGCAGUCUGAGCAGGAGAUCAGGCCCCAUCAGGGCCCGGCAGCACCUCCUCCUCCCCCUCCUCCACCUCCACCACACAUACGAGACCUGCUAAGAAAAGAGGAAACCACUGAUCUAAAUGCGAAGAAUACAUACGCCCGCUUAGACAAAGACAACGCCAAAGUUGGUCUCUUCAUCGCUGCGUCCGCUGGAACCUGCGCUCUGAUGGCUGCAGUGUACUGCAUCUACAACAAGUUCUACACCAAACAGCAGUACCUGCACACCCAACUCAACGAUGACUCAGAUUUGACCACAGACCCCAUGGACCCUCCCCCCGUGUUUUUCCACGCCUCUCCCAGCUCCAGUGCGGCAGACGUGCGGCGAGCUGGUUACGGCUCGCUCUCGGACACACCGUCCAUCAUCUCUGUGCCACCCUGCCUGUCUCCUCCUCCCUCCGCCAUGCCCUUCCCUCCCCUCUUCGUCUCCUCUCGCUCUCUGAGAACUAUAUCAGCGAAGGAUCUGGAGAGGAGCUGCAUCUGAUAUCGAGUUCUCAAGUUAGACUCACGAAUGACAGUCAGGAAGAAGUAGUUGUGUUUUUCACUGUACACUUUGUUGUCCAUUUUCUACGCAUAUCACCCUCACAUUCACCCUUCACUGCCAUCAACCACCACCAAAUCUGCCCCCAACAUUCACCUUUGCAUCAUAACCAUAUGUAUGAAGUGUAGUCAGAGUUUUUCCUGCACCUUGUCUGACACUAUCAGUAGUCAUCCAGUGGUACCACAAGAAAUAAACUGUCCAAAAAUAAAAGAAAUGCUGUCAUGAUCAUUUCAUUCAUUUAAUUUCAAUACUCAGAGCCCUACUGUCAACUGAAAUUGCUCUAUUUUAACAAGAACUUUAAAGGAUAAAUUCACCCCCAAAAAUAAAAAGAUCUGUCAUGAUCUACUCAGCUACACGCUGACGGAAAGUCGGGUGAAGUUUCGUGGAUCACAAAACAUUUCUGGAGCUUCACAGCGUCACAGCAUUGUCUGAAACAACUGAAGUAGAUGGGGACUUGUUUUAAAACAGGGUUACAAAAAAUAAAACGGCUCAUCCUGUGAAUUCCAGUCCUCUAGAAGUCCUAACAUUCCAAAUUGAUUUAAAAAAUACGUUAUUUAAACCCUUUUUUAAGCUGAAAUCUUCACUGUAACUGCUGAGCUAAAAAUGUUAGCGCACACGCCAUCUGAAGCGAGUGCACAAACUCGACUGCAUGUUGUGGGUGUAAACAAUUUCUUUUCAAAACAAUUUGGUUAUCUGCGGAGACUUGGAUGACGAUGGAUGAGCUGUACGGAGCCAUUUUAUAACUGUUUUUUUUUUUUCAGGGUUCUUUCUUUUUUUUUAUUUUAAAACAAGUCCCCAUCUACGUCAGUUGUUGUUGAGGGAUGCCGCAACACUGUUUUCCUCUGCCAUCGACAUGAGGGUGAGUAGAUAAUGACUGACUUUUCGUUUCUUGGGGGAGCUCAUCCUUUAAGCAGUUGUCACACCCAUAUGGAAGAAGGGGUGUGCAGAAAUGAUGCGUGGUGGCAGCUCUAACACUGUUGGCAUGACGCACAGGGCGCAUAGCUGAGGCACAAAAAAACCCGACAAAAUCCGGAUCUUAUCAUUUUAUGAAAUCUGAUUUUUCUUUGUUUUUCUUUUGCUUGUAGAUUUACUUCGCCUCUUACUUUGGAUCUAUACACCUUUUCCCGACAGCUCAACUAAGGAUCAGUCCAGUGCCCUGGGAGCAGCCUGCCCCUCCCGUGCCACAAAUACCUGGGAACCCCGUUAAUAUGCUUCGAUCGGACACUGUUUACUCUAACUUGCUCCAUUCAAGGCUUUCGCGUUCCAAGAAUAGUCUGUGCUUAAAACGCCGGGCUGCGGGGAAGGAAGUGACAUGCUACCUUCCACUCGCUACACACACUUGGAGAGAUUAGCGCGCAGGCAGCGGUAAUCUGGUUUCAGGACCACGGACAGAGACACCGCUUGGCCACGAAAGUUACCUCCAUCCGGCGCGCUGCGAGACCUUUUACGGGAGUGUCGAGAAGUUCACCUGGACGCGAGGGAGUCUGGCAAAGUGGGGCUGACAAUGUUUGUUCCGCUGGUUUUAUCCAACUGCAGUUGAAACAAAUCAAAUCUGGACAAUCGGCGUCGCCAUAGAUUCCGCCGCAAAGGAAACUGCGGGUUAAUGAGUCUAAGGAUCAAGUAAAAUCAAGGUGUUUUUUUUUUUUCUUUUCCUUUUUUUUUUUUUUUUUUUUAUGUGUGAGUGAGAGCCACGGGGCGGAGGGAGUAGAGGGAGAAGGCUGUGCGCUCGGUCGGGAGCGCGCAAAGACUGCACAUUGGU